GCAUUCUGUGCUCAGUGGUAGAGUGUCUGACUCGCAUGCAGAAGGGCCCAGGUUCAAUCCCUGGCAUCUCCA
Non-coding RNA from Podarcis lilfordi (Lilford's wall lizard), 72 nucleotides. The record is from the annotation of a GenBank genome assembly. Lineage: Eukaryota; Metazoa; Chordata; Lepidosauria; Squamata; Lacertidae.